CCUACGGGGGGCAGCAGUGGGGGAUAUUGCACAAUGGGGGGAACCCUGAUGCAGCGACGCCGCGUGGGUGAAGAAGCGCCUCGGCGCGUAAAGCCCUGUCAGCAGGGAAGAAAAUGACGGUACCUGAAGAAGAAGCCCCGGCUAACUACGUGCCAGCAGCCGCGGUAAUACGUAGGGGGCAAGCGUUACCCGGAUUUACUGGGUGGAAAGGGGGCGCAAACGGCGAUGCAAGCCAGGAGUGAAAGCCCGGGGCCCAACCCCGGGACUGCUCUCGGAACUGCGUGGCUGGAGUGCAGGAGGUGCAGGCGGAAUUCCUGGUGUAGCGGUGAAAUGCGUAGAUAUCAGGAGGAACACCGGUGGCGAAGGCGGCCUGCUGGACUGCAACUGACGUUGAGGCCCGAAAGCGUGGGGAGCAAACAGGAUUAGAUACCCCAGUAGUC
This 440-nucleotide ribosomal RNA is filed under the name uncultured bacterium. RNAcentral's name for it is "partial 16S ribosomal RNA". It matches the Rfam family "Bacterial small subunit ribosomal RNA", at positions 338 to 795 of the family's 1533-position model. The record is from RNAcentral.